GAUGAACGCUGGCGGCGUGCCUAAUACAUGCAAGUCGAGCGAACGGACGAGAAGCUUGCUUCUCUGAUGUUAGCCGCGGACGGGUGAGUAACACGUGGAUAACCUACCUAUAAGACUGGGAUAACUUCGUGAAACCGGAGCUAAUACCGUAUAAUAUUUUGAACCGCAUGGUUCAAAAGUUAAAGACGGUCUUGCUGUCACUUAUAGCUGGAUCCGCGCUGCAUUAGCUAGUUGGUAAGGUAACGGCUUACCAAGGCAACGAUGCAUAGCCGACCUGAGAGGGUGAUCGGCCACACUGGAACUGAGACACGGUCCAGACUCCUACGGGAGGCAGCAGUAGGGAAUCUUCCGCAAUGGGCGAAAGCCUGACGGAGCAACGCCGCGUGAGUGAUGAAGGUCUUCGGAUCGUAAAACUCUGUUAUUAGGGAAGAACAUAUGUGUAAGUAACUGUGCACAUCUUGACGGUACCUAAUCAGAAAGCCACGGCUAACUACGUG
This 497-nucleotide ribosomal RNA is filed under the name uncultured bacterium. RNAcentral's name for it is "partial 16S ribosomal RNA". It matches the Rfam family "Bacterial small subunit ribosomal RNA", at positions 28 to 507 of the family's 1533-position model. The record is from RNAcentral.